Molecule: long non-coding RNA, 260 nt
Filed under: Actinidia chinensis (golden kiwifruit)
Lineage: Eukaryota; Viridiplantae; Streptophyta; Magnoliopsida; Ericales; Actinidiaceae
Description: long non-coding RNA (ACHI_LNC003129)
Source: RNAcentral
UGAGCUGAGUCGAGGCGAAGCCGAGGAUUAUGAUGCCGGAGAGCUUUGAGUGCUCGCCGGAACCCGAAUGCUCGCCGCCGUGGACCAAAGUCUCUGACUAGAGGAAUCGCUACGAUCAGGUAUGUGCGUCCUCCCAUUCGCGGAGGAGAGAGAGAGUUGAGGAGGACCGAGAGACUCUGGUUGAGAUAUGAGAGCUCUGAUGUUCAUUCAUGCACCUUUAGUGGUCUGCAGUUUCCAUGCACAAUACACGAAGACUGAAG